Molecule: ribosomal RNA, 490 nt
Filed under: uncultured bacterium
Lineage: Bacteria
Description: bacterial SSU rRNA
Rfam family: Bacterial small subunit ribosomal RNA
Source: RNAcentral
AUUGAACGCUGGCGGCAGGCCUAACACAUGCAAGUCGAGCGGAAACGAUCCUAGCUUGCUAGGAGGCGUCGAGCGGCGGACGGGUGAGUAACGCGUGAGAAUCUACCCAUGAGUGGGGGACAAUCCGGGGAAACUCGGGCUAAUACCGCAUACGCCCUACGGGGGUAAAGCAGGGGACCUUCGGGGCCUUGCGCUGAUGGAUGAGCUCGCGUCGGAUUAGCUUGUUGGUGAGGUAAAGGCUCACCAAGGCGACGAUCCGUAGCUGGUCUGAGAGGAUGAUCAGCCACACCGGGACUGAGACACGGCCCGGACUCCUACGGGAGGCAGCAGGUGGGAAUCUUGGACAAUGGGGGCAACCCUGAUCCAGCCAUGCCGCGUGUGUGAAGAAGGCCUUCGGGUUGUAAAGCACUUUCAGCAGGGAGGAAGGCUUACCCCUAAUACGGGUGAGUACUUGACGUUACCUGCAGAAGAAGCACCGGCUAAUUUCGUG